This 68-nucleotide transfer RNA is filed under the name Cercopithecus ascanius ascanius. RNAcentral's name for it is "tRNA-Gly". RNAcentral also lists the same sequence under 3 other names. The record is from RNAcentral. Lineage: Eukaryota; Metazoa; Chordata; Mammalia; Primates; Cercopithecidae.
ACUUCUUUAGUAUAACUAGUACAAUUGACUUCCAAUCAAUCAGUUUUGAUAGUAUUCAAAAAGGAGUA